This 429-nucleotide ribosomal RNA is filed under the name Bacillota bacterium. RNAcentral's name for it is "Firmicutes bacterium partial 16S ribosomal RNA". It matches the Rfam family "Bacterial small subunit ribosomal RNA", at positions 355 to 776 of the family's 1533-position model. The record is from RNAcentral. Lineage: Bacteria; Bacillati; Bacillota.
UAGGGAAUCUUCCACAAUGGACGCAAGUCUGAUGGAGCAACGCCGCGUGAGUGAAGAAGGUUUUCGGAUCGUAAAGCUCUGUUGUUGGUGAAGAAGGAUAGAGGUAUUAACUGGCCUUUAUUUGACGGUAAUCAACCAGAAAGUCACGGCUAACUACGUGCCAGCAGCCGCGGUAAUACGUAGGUGGCAAGCGUUGUCCGGAUUUAUUGGGAGUAAAGCGAGCGCAGGCGGAAGAAUAAGUCUGAUGUGAAAGCCCUCGGCUUAACCGAGGAACUGCAUCGGAAACUGUUUUUCUUGAGUGCAGAAGAGGAGAGUGGAACUCCAUGUGUAGCGGUGGAAUGCGUAGAUAUAUGGAAGAACACCAGUGGCGAAGGCGACUCUCUGGUCUGCAACUGACGCUGAGGCUCGAAAGCAUGGGUAGCGAACAGG